GGAAUUUCAGAGCAUAUGGUUUGGUAUGCAUAUAACUUGGGUGACUAUGGGGAAAGGGAGAAUGUUAAGGUCCUCGUGGAUAUGAGGAUCAACGUUUCUCCCAAUUUUGUGCAGCAGAAGUAGCAGGCAGACACCUCGCCAUCACUGAGCUGUGGGAGGAGCCUGCCUGAUCCAGAGUGUUUCCCUCCCACCCAGCAGCACACACACACGCUGCUGCUGCUGACCCCAGGGCAGCUGCUACCUGCUGUAGUCUGGCUUAUGUUGGUGCUUUAUGCAUCCAACUUAAAAAUAAAGGGGCUUGACUGUCAAGCAGGACUGAAUAUUACUCAGCAUCCUACAGGCUUUGAGCAGUAGAAAAUAGGAAAGGACUGUGAAGUUUCUUGCAGCAGUAGUUGCUUCCUGCCCAGGACUCCCCAUGCUGCUCUCUGCUCCCUGGGAUAAAGCAAUGGUCUGGGCGAUGCACUACACAUCCUGGCUCUUCCGCCUCAGGCCUGCCCGCUGGAGCGGCCGCAGCAUCCACAGCUCCCCACCGGAGGGGAAAGUGGGACUGGUGGAGACAAUCAUUGGAUUCUCAGCAUUUUCACUAGCAGUUCUUGGACCAGCUGGAUGGUUCCUGUACCACCUUCCAAGCUAUAAAAUGGAAUAAAAAACUCCCCUUCAAAUUUAAGCUUUGUCAGUGAAUCCAACAUCUUGAUCUGAGGCCCAGUUAUGCAUCUGGAAACCUUCCUACAGAUUUUAAUGAGUUUUGGAUAAGGACCGAUCCAGAGAAAAAUCCAUGCCAGUAACUGAAGUGCAGCCUGGCAAGUGCUCUGCAAAACACUGCUCUUGCAUGCCAUGAAUAUAUCCACUGAAAUCAAUUAGGCUGUUCUGCAGAAUCUUUUGUAAAAAAGCAUUUUGAACAUUUCCGUGUGCCUGCUUGUCCUGUACCCAAUUUUGUCAUCCAUGUCUCACCUGGUAAUGGCUAAAUAAAUCAUUAAGACACA
Molecule: long non-coding RNA, 983 nt
Filed under: Numida meleagris (helmeted guineafowl)
Lineage: Eukaryota; Metazoa; Chordata; Aves; Galliformes; Numididae
Description: lncRNA (ENSNMEG00000010602.1)
Source: RNAcentral